Molecule: long non-coding RNA, 3309 nt
Organism: Lotus japonicus
Lineage: Eukaryota; Viridiplantae; Streptophyta; Magnoliopsida; Fabales; Fabaceae
Exons: 5
Source: RefSeq, a predicted model, not a curated record
AUCUCAUACUUUCUCUCUCUUACUUUUUCUUUUCUUUUUAUCUCUCUCCUCGUUCUCCCUCUUCCACCUCAAAUGAGAGGUGUGUAUGUAACAUUAUUCAUAAUUAUGUAUGUAUCCUUUUCGUUCAGUGUCUUUUGUUCAUAGAGGCGCGCCGCCACCAGCAUCGUGUUCCACCACGCCAACUAUGAGACACACGACGGCCUCAUCGACAACUUCAAGAAAUCUCACCCUACGACGAGCAUGUACAGCUCCACCGUGCGCCGUCUUCCCCAUGAUCCAAGAGAUCCUCGAAUACCACAAGCAGUAUGAUGAAAUCACCAUUCCCUUUGGUAAAGCUGGCAAGUUCGACCGCCCUCGCCUGUUCGACCAAAUGUAUCACCACCAGGUCCCUCAAUGCACAGCCAGGUCACUUACCACUUCCCUCGCCGCCAACAGGUGAAAAAAAAAACAAAGAAUUUCUAAUAUGUUGGCCAUCACUUGCUUUGAAAGAGGAUGGCCAAGCAAUGCAGAUAGCUGCAGCUGCUAUGCUCAACUAUGCUGGCCAGAAUGGAGAUGAGUUCCCACUUAGAGGAAACAUGUACAUAAAAAUCCAUUUAUGUAAGUCCAAGAUUUGAAAAAUGGUUUUCUAAUAUCUAUGUUUUGCUCUGGAACAUUUAUAUUGUGAGAAAGGGUAGAUAAUUGAAUGGUCUGUUUUUUCUCUGGAAGGGAUUUAGGGAGGAGGGUAGUUAAGUUCCUUGGUGAAGAAGCUAUGAUUUGAUGGUAGAUUGAACUCUUUCCAGCUUGAGCAUACCUCAGGUAUACAUCCACAAACAUUCUAAAGUUCUAUUUCAGACAAUGCAACCAAUUUGAAACAUCACAUGCAUUCCCGUCAGCUAUUUUUCUUCACUUUUCUAAUUUGCGUCUGAUGUUGCAAGUUAAGGAUAUGAAAAUUCACAGUGAAGAUGGAUGGCUCUUUGCGGCAAAGAUCUUAAACAUGUAUUCAGAUCCAAUGGUUAGAAAAAAAAUAUAAUUAUUUUAUGAUUGCUAUGUACUAUGACACAUUGGUUUAUGUAGUUUUAACAAUGGAGAAUGCAGCUGCUAUCUUAACUACUAAGAACAAUCAGUUAACAAAAUAAAAACUAUUUCAUGAUUGGCAUAUAUUAUAACAGAUUGGUAAUAUAAUUAUAACAUUUGACAAUAAAGUUGCUUCUUAAGAGCAUGAGAAAAUCAUUGACUUCAGGAGAAAUAUAAAUUUGACUAUUAAAUUUAACAGUUUUCUCAUUCUUUGUGAAUUUUCUUCUUAGAGUUUUUGCUUUGAAUGGGAUUGGGGGAGGGUAGUUAACAAGUUAUCUGACUGACCAAUGGCUGUAUUUUUGGCAUCUAUGUUAGAACAAUGUUUUUGUUACUGUAGUUGCUUCAAUCCAAUAUCAAGCACUGACAGUAAAAUGCAAUGAUGCUUACUACAAACUCAGCAAUACCAAGGCACAUAUACAAUCUUACGCUUUUUAUGGUGGGUCCUUUGUGAAUCUGCUUAAAAACAAAUUGGGUUUGUAUAUGCACUUGCAGUGCCUCUUUAGAUUGAAACUGAUUUGUUAAUAUUGCAAUUUCAGUUAUCUGACCAAGUAUUCCCAUGAUGGAACUUGAUUCUGCUUUUGAGCAAAAAAUGAUCUUGCAAAAGCAGUACUGACAUAACUUGAAAAAGGAAUUCUUUCUUUUUUAGUGUGUUGUAAAUUAAGAAAGAAGUACUAGCACAUUCGUUUCUGAUGAAGGUUUAAAUCAAAAGAUCAAUUUUUUUUUAUUAAAUUUACGAUAUGUAGAAAGUAUAUUAAAGCCUAAAGAAAAAAGAAUAGAAAAACUACAUCCUUAUCAUAUAAAAUUUGAUAAUAAUGGAGAUUUAAGUUAGUGUUUAAUCAUGAACCUAAUGGCAGUUUCAUGUAAGAUAUUUAGUGAGAUUGACCUCAAACUAUGUUCUUUUUUAGCACAUAACAAAAAGACUAUGUUGUUGGAAAGUCAAGAGUCUUUUAGUUGCUGAUAUGCCAAUGGAACCUGUUAUAGUAAGUGAUAGUACUUGCUCAUUGCAACUACCACUUGCCCAUGCCUGACUUAUUGCAUCAAUUGUCAACUCUAUUAAGAGGUUAUGGUAUUGCAAGCUUUAUCAACCUUAUUUAUGACAAAAGGUUUGUUCUUCACAACGCAAAUUUCUGGUAUUUCAAGAUGGUUUGUCUCUUGGUUAAAUUGAACCUCUUGCUAGGAAAGUUUCAUAAACAGAAAACUUUGGUCAUUAAGCUCUGUUAAAUUUGAUGGUUCUGGUAACUCCUUCAAUUAACCUUCUAAUUGUGGUUCUUAUGGAAAUAUUUCCUCUUUUCUUUUUCCUGAAUAGAUGAUUUUGCAUCAAUUAUGUUCUUUCCAUAUGCUUUGAAAUAUUGAAGUAUUCAUUAUUUUUUCCUUGGUUAAAGUGAAUUUAUGUAUUUCUUUGUUUUUUCCUCCAUAUAAGAUGUGAUAUGUAAGUGAUUUAAUUUAUGCGAUGCCUGCACGCCGUCAACCUAACAUUUAUCUAUGGCUUUCUGUACUUUCAAUCCUAUUCUUCAAAGUUGGAUUUAGUCAUGAUCUAUAACUAUUACCCAAAAUUUUGUUGCAGUUCCCCCAUUUUUGUCACCUCUAUUCCCUUUAUUGGGAGUUGAGUCAGGUUCUAACAUUUUCUUCUCAGACUGAUCAUGACCACAUGGAUCUUUGGUAAAAUCUCAAGAUCCUGCCAUUUGUGAGACCUUAUCACAGUUGCAGAAAAACUCAAAGCUAUAGAGAACUCAAGGCUUGUGAUGGUGAUUUUACUUAUCUAGGGUCCCAUCACCUUGCUCUGCUUCCUUUGAUUGUUUACCGGACACACUCCUCUUGGAUUUCCAAUCCAGCAGCGCUGAAGAGUCGGUUUUCACACUUGACAAUGAGCUCUUUCCAUAUGGUCCGUGCUGCUGUUCUUGCUAUGGUAAGCAUGUUGUUGGAGCCUAAAAAGAGGUGAAGCUGAGAUUUUAAGGCAGUGUUGAGGUCCUACAAGGUAUCAUGAUGAAUUGAAGAUGAUCAGAGUAUUUCUGGAGAGCAAUGGACAUAGCUCCUUAUGCUGUUGGCAAGCUCUAUCAGCACUUUUGGUACAUUUGUUGCAAGCCUCAUGCAUAAUUUUGUUGCAAGCCUCAUGCAAGGGUACUCGAACAGAUCCUGGAGUCUAACACAAAAUAUCUAAUUUUUUUUUUUUGAAAUUGGAAUAAUAUAUUAAAAUCAAAAUAUCUAAUUAUGCAUACCUUUUCUUUUUCUGAAUUGCAUUCAGUUAAUUGAAGUCUA